AAAACACCUUUCCUACUUGUUUUGGGAAUAUCCACUCUGGGUGCAGCCUGUGUUUGCUGGGCCUGUGUGCUGUUUUCCGAGAGACUCUGGCUGCUGGAGAGGAUUCUCACAAAGGCAUGCACACCUGGGCAGGCUGCUCCCCCGUGGUGACCUGCUCACUGGUUUUCACGUUGCCGCCCGUCUUGUCCUCCUGCACGCUGGUGUGGCUGCUCUGCCUGUUUUGGGCACUGCCGUCCAGCCCGACGCUCUGAUGGCUGCUGGCCUGGGUGGAGGGAAGGCUGGCUGUGGAAGUCAGCAGCCCACUGCUCACCUGGUAGGUGAGGGCACUGCUGCCCAAGCUGAUGAAGCUGGUGCUGGACAGGCUGCUGCUGCCCGGCAGGCUGGCCUCACUCUUUCCCUCCAGUCUGCUUGGUGCUGUGGGCGGGGGGGCCCUGGGAGGCCUCUGAAUGUUGGCUGUGACCUCUCUGGGGAGAGGUGACUCCGUAUA
RNAcentral lists this non-coding RNA (487 nucleotides) under Pan troglodytes (chimpanzee). Lineage: Eukaryota; Metazoa; Chordata; Mammalia; Primates; Hominidae. The record is from RNAcentral.